Molecule: transfer-messenger RNA, 352 nt
Filed under: Terriglobia bacterium
Lineage: Bacteria; Pseudomonadati; Acidobacteriota; Terriglobia
Rfam family: transfer-messenger RNA
About the family: Bacterial tmRNA, also known as 10Sa RNA or SsrA, is named for its dual tRNA and mRNA-like properties.
Source: RNAcentral
GGGGGCGCAACGGAUUCGACGGGAUUGAAUCGUAGUGGGAAGGCGUGCCGGGUUCCGAGCUCCCGUAAAACGAUCGGAAAACGAUAACUGCCAACACGCAGUUUGCAUACGCUGCCUAAUUAAUUAGGUGGCCGCUCCAGCCGCUGAGCCCGCGCGGCGGUGAGUGAGCGUCAUCUUGCGGGAUUGGCCAAAGGCUUCGGUCCGGAGCCGGAGGCUGAAACCCAAUCGGACUAGGUUGCCACCGCUCUCGCCAGCUCUAAGGUGGCCGCCGACAAUCCGGAGCUGGCUACGCACGUAGUCUUCUCAAGACGGGCUUUCUCGGACGGGGGUUCAACUCCCCCCGCCUCCACCA